UGAGAAACCGAANAGAUCGAAUGGGGAGAUUCAUCGUCAGCGCGUCUGGUAUAUGUGCAGGUCGCGAUGUACGGGCCCUAAUAUCCCCUAGUUGGCUAUUAUCCGGCUUAACACGCGCCUGUAUCAUUUAGUUGCCAGCAUGUCGUCGGCGUGCACUUCUCCCCUAGUAGGACGUCGCGACCCGUUGGGUGUCGGUCUACGGCGCCCGGCCCUGGGAGCCUUUAGUGUCUGCGCGCGCCUUCUCUCGCGCGCCGCGUGCGCGUGCGCCCUCACAAGCGCGCGCGUCUCGUGUUGCGCGGGGUUGCGUGGCGUGGUCGCAUUGAAGACCCAAUAGGGCGCGUCUUGUGGCCGGCUGCCCGGCGGUAUUCGCAUGGUAUUGAGCCGCAAAAAUUUGAUAAUAAUUUGCGUCUGACCCGCCGCAAGCGGGGCCAGGCCAUUAUAUAUAUGUCAAUUAUAUAUUCUCUUAACCGCGGUCUCCGCGCGCGUGCUUAACAGGCGCGCGCGCGCGCGGCCGGGCCUGGCCAGCUGUUAGCUGUGCGGUGCUCUUUGACUGGCUCUGUUAUUAUAUUUACCGGUCGGCGACGCUACUGC
RNAcentral lists this ribosomal RNA (591 nucleotides) under Megalohelcon ichneumonoides. RNAcentral describes it as "partial 28S ribosomal RNA". Lineage: Eukaryota; Metazoa; Arthropoda; Insecta; Hymenoptera; Trachypetidae. The record is from RNAcentral.